Macaca mulatta (Rhesus monkey) is the source of this 2326-nucleotide non-coding RNA. NCBI's taxonomy places the organism in Eukaryota, Metazoa, Chordata, Mammalia, Primates, Cercopithecidae. The record is from RefSeq and is a predicted model, not a curated record.
CGGGAAGCCAAUCCCUCCCUUUUUGGGGUAGGGGAGGCCCUGAUAAUCUUGGACUUUGGGCGAGUGGCUCCCCAGGUCUAGGCCUGGCUGCCCUCCCCAAACAAAUCUCCCAGCUCUUUUCUGUCCAAAGCCCUCCCCCUCUAUCCCAUCUCCAGCCUCUUCUCUUCAGGCCCAUCAACGAAGCUUUCACCCUCAGCACUUGCCUUAGAUUCCUGGACUUAGCAGCACACAGGAAAUAUUCUCCUCGCAGACUUUAGGCGCCACUGCUGGGUCCGGAAAAGAAAGAGAAACGUCCCAGCGCGGUCGCUUGUGUAACUCAGGACGAGGCUGCGCUGGGCGCCCGCGCGCGUUUUCAAGUCUGUGGCCCGGAGUUCACUUCGAGCACUGGGAUCACCCGUCACCCCGCUCUGGUCUACGGAAAACGAAACGUGUUUACUGAUAUAGAAACGGAACAACGGCGCUGCGGGCUGGGGAGGGCGGAGCUGCCUUCAGGCUUCUGGUCUCCAGCUGCGGGUCACUCACAUCUGCCGCUGUGAAAUGCAGACCCGCGGGGCAGGAAUUCCUAGUCCGGGCUGGAGCGCGAUCUGGAAUCUGAGUCGCUUGAAACAGCACCGCGGUGAAUUCGGAGCCGGAGCCUGUGAGGUGGUCAAGCUGCAGAGAACACAAGCUUCUACCUCCAGAUGUGCCAGGGUGCAUCUCUUGGGUACAAAAACAAGGGUUUUGUUUUGUUUUACAAAGUCAAAGUACAAACCUCAAACAGGAUAAUAUUUUAAACCAUUAUUGGGACAUACUUUGCAUACAAUAAAUGUAUGUAUUUGAAAUGUACAGCUCAUGGGGUUGUACUGUUUGGCUGUUUUACACAACCACAUAUCCGCUACCACAAUGAAGAUAAAGAAAUAACUUUUCCAUAGUCCUCUAAAGAACAGCCAUGCGUUAAAAUUCCAUGCAGUCCUUAAAAAGAGGAGGAUGAAUUUUUAAGUAUUGUUAUGAGAAGAUCUGUGCCCAGCCUACUUUUACCCAUUUUUAAAAGGAUAAGGAUAUAUGGAUGUAAAGAUGUACCACUAAUGCCACUUACAUAGUAUAUAUUUUAAGUAGGGAAAACCCGGAGGAUUACUCACCAAAAUUUUGGCAGGGACCCCAGGGACUGGGGUAACUUUGUGACUUUCGCUUUCUCUGAAAUGUUGGAAUUUUAUAUUACAGUAUAAACUCAGAUAUUGGUCAGGCACGAUGGUUCAGGCUCUGGAAGCUGAAGGAUAGCUUGAGCCCAGGAGUUUGAGGCUGCAGUGAGCUAGGAUCUCACCACUACACUCCAGCCUGGGUGACAGAAAGAGAUUUGUCUCAAAAAUAAAUAAAGAAAAUUUAAAAAUAAAAAUAAUAAACUUGGCUUUGUAUGGUGGUUAAAUGUAAGCUACACACCCAAAUAGUUACAGGAUUUUAAAACCCAAAGUGUUAAUUAAAACCCAACUCCAGAAACUCACUUUUAAGGGGACUUCAUAUUUUCAGGUCAUUAAAUCUUUCUCAAAGUGUCUUUGAUAGAGCUGUUUUUAGUGCAGUAGGGAGAUGUGUAACCAUUUUACAAAAGGGGCGGGCUGUAAUAAAAAGGGAAACGCAAAAUCCAGUGGGGACACGCUGUCCCAUUUAUUUUCAAAGCAGGUUUGAAAACUGCACUGCUAUAGUGUCUUUGGGUUGAGACAAAGUCGAGGAAAAUCUUGUUCCUGGAGUGUUGAUUUCCUUUUUCCAAGGGCCAAAGCCUUUCGAAGCAAAUCUAAAAACUCAGGCUGACUUUCAGAUCUGAAGAAAUCUCAAGAAUGUUUGUGCGGACAGCGACGCUCUAAGAAUCCAGCCCUCUUGGGCUCCAAGCUCUCUGGAGCUUCACCCAGUGACAAUGGGCGAAAGGACAGUACACAGUGAAAUGGCACCAGUGAGUCAGAGGCCAAAGGAGGAUUUCUGGCCAGAGGGCGCAGGAUGUGCUUUGUCAUAGUGAGGUUGGGGUAGCCGAGCAGAGGCAAGGCCACUCUGGGAAUAAGUGGCAGAGAAAAAGGAGCGCUAGGAAGGAUCCAAAGCCUUUAACUUCUUCCUUUCCUUCCAGUUGGAUUGGAGGGGACCAGCAUGGUCCCUGAAGGAGAGGUCCGUGGGGUGCAGAGAAUGGGGUGGCUGCAAAGGGGCAUUGCACGUCCCACACAGGCGUCUGGCACCCUUCUCCCAGCUACUCCUGAUGAGUUCAAACUAGGAGGAGACUAAGACUCGUCCUUUGCAAGGUAGACUCCGUAUCUCGCGCUUCGGCUGGUUUAUUAAAUCCAUCUUAAUAAAACACAAAAACCAAGAA